This 570-nucleotide ribosomal RNA is filed under the name uncultured bacterium. Its description in RNAcentral is "partial 16S ribosomal RNA". It matches the Rfam family "Bacterial small subunit ribosomal RNA", at positions 355 to 918 of the family's 1533-position model. The record is from RNAcentral.
UGGGGAAUUUUGGACAAUGGGGGAAACCCUGAUCCAGCCAUCCCGCGUGUGCGAUGAAGGCCUUCGGGUUGUAAAGCACUUUUGGCAGGAAAGAAACGUCGCGGGUUAAUACCCCGCGAAACUGACGGUACCUGCAGAAUAAGCACCGGCUAACUACGUGCCAGCAGCCGCGGUAAUACGUAGGGUGCAAGCGUUAAUCAGAAUUACUGGGCGUAAAGCGUGCGCAGGCGGUUCGGAAAGAAAGAUGUGAAAUCCCAGAGCUUAACUUUGGAACUGCAUUUUUAACUACCGGGCUAGAGUGUGUCAGAGGGAGGUGGAAUUCCGCGUGUAGCAGUGAAAUGCGUAGAUAUGCGGAGGAACACCGAUGGCGAAGGCAGCCUCCUGGGAUAACACUGACGCUCAUGCACGAAAGCGUGGGGAGCAAACAGGAUUAGAUACCCUGGUAGUCCACGCCCUAAACGAUGUCAACUAGCUGUUGGGGCCUUCGGGCCUUGGUAGCGCAGCUAACGCGUGAAGUUGACCGCCUGGGGAGUACGGUCGCAAGAUUAAAACUCAAAUGAAUUGACGGGG